GAUGAACGCUGGCGGCGUGCUUAACACAUGCAAGUCGAACGAUGAAGCCCAGCUUGCUGGGUGGAUUAGUGGCGAACGGGUGAGUAACACGUGAGUAGCCUGCCCUUAACUCUGGGAUAAGCCUGGGAAACUGGGUCUAAUACCGGAUAGGAGCGUCCACCGCAUGGUGGGUGUUGGAAAGAUUUAUCGGUUUUGGAUGGACUCGCGGCCUAUCAGCUUGUUGGUGAGGUAAUGGCUCACCAAGGCGACGACGGGUAGCCGGCCUGAGAGGGUGACCGGCCACACUGGGACUGAGACACGGCCCAGACUCCUACGGGAGGCAGCAGUGGGGAAUAUUGCACAAUGGGCGCAAGCCUGAUGCAGCGACGCCGCGUGAGGGAUGACGGCCUUCGGGUUGUAAACCUCUUUCAGUAGGGAAGAAGCGAAAGUGACGGUACCUGCAGAAGAAGCACCGGCUAACUACGCG
Molecule: ribosomal RNA, 466 nt
Filed under: uncultured bacterium
Lineage: Bacteria
Description: partial 16S ribosomal RNA
Rfam family: Bacterial small subunit ribosomal RNA
Source: RNAcentral